UACGAGUGCCUCAAGCGUUAUCCGGAAUUAUUGGGCGUAAAGGGUGUGUAGGUUGUUUUGUUAGUCUCUUGUAAAAUCUUCCGGCUUAACCGGAAACGCGCGAGAGAAACGGCAAAACUAGAGGAUGUGAGAGGUGUACGGAACUCAUGGUGUAGGGGUGAAAUCCGUUGAUAUCAUGGGGAACACCAAAUGCGAAGGCAGUACACUGGCGCAUUCCUGACACUGAGACACGAAAGCGUGGGUAGCGAACGGG
Molecule: unclassified non-coding RNA, 253 nt
Filed under: uncultured Parcubacteria group bacterium
Lineage: Bacteria
Description: contains 16S-23S intergenic spacer region
Rfam family: Bacterial small subunit ribosomal RNA
Source: RNAcentral